GAGGGUUGAAAGCGUGGGGAGCGAACAGGAUUAGAUACCCUGGUAGUUCACGCCGUAAACGAUGAGUGCUAAGUGUUAGAGGGUUUUCGCCCCUUUAGUGCUGCAGCUAACGCAUUAAGCACUCCGCCUGGGGAGUACGGUCGCAAGAUUGAAACUCAAAGGAAUUGACGGGGGCCCGCACCAGCGGUGGAGCAUGUGGUUUAAUUUGAAGCAACGCGNAGAACCUUACCAGGUCUUGACAUCCUUUGACNCNUUCUAGAGAUAGGACGUCCCCUUUGGGGGCAGAGUGACAGGUGGUGCAUGGUUGUUGUCAGCUCGUGUUGUGAGAUGUUGGGUUAAGUCCCGCAACGAGCGCAACCCUUGAUUUUAGUUGCCAGCAUUCAGUUGGGCACUCUAAGGUGACUGCCGGUGACAAACCGGAGGAAGGUGGGGAUGACGUCAAAUCAUCAUGCCCCUUAUGACCUGGGGUACACACGUGCUACAAUGGGAAGAACAAAGGGCAGCGAAACCGCGAGGGUAAGCCAAUCCCACAAAUCUUUUUUCAGUUCGGAUUGCAGUCUGCAACUUGCCUGCGUGAAGCCGGAAUCGCUUGUAAUCGCGGAUCAGCAUGCCGCGGUGAAUACGUUCCCGGGCCUUGUACACACCGCCCGUCACAAC
RNAcentral lists this ribosomal RNA (657 nucleotides) under Bacillus subtilis. RNAcentral's name for it is "bacterial SSU rRNA". It matches the Rfam family "Bacterial small subunit ribosomal RNA", at positions 748 to 1403 of the family's 1533-position model. Lineage: Bacteria; Bacillati; Bacillota; Bacilli; Caryophanales; Bacillaceae. The record is from RNAcentral.